This 435-nucleotide long non-coding RNA is filed under the name Gorilla gorilla gorilla (western lowland gorilla). RNAcentral describes it as "lncRNA (ENSGGOG00000044267.1)". Lineage: Eukaryota; Metazoa; Chordata; Mammalia; Primates; Hominidae. The record is from RNAcentral.
GCUUGUUAUCCGGUCAAUGGAACGGGUUAUGUACGUCAUGUUGAUAAUCCAAAUGGAGACGGAAGAUGUGUGAAAUGUAUUACAUUACGUUAAAGAACGGGAUGGCAAGCCCUGCCUGAUGUGGCUCUGGGAAUUCCUGCAGAGAAGAGCAGGGGUGGCCAGGAGAUAGUGAGCAGCUCCCAGGAGGCAUGGAGGGAUCCAGAACCUGGACUGAAGAACUACCUAGAAAUAACUCAGCAGAAUUCUGAAAAUGAGGUCACGCUGGGUAAGAAUGCCUUUUUUUUUUUUUCAUAGUCAAAGUUAGCUAUGGAGUUUCUGUAGUAUUCACUACUCCAGACCUUUUUCAAGUUGAAUUUUUUUUUCUUUUUCCCUAUGUCUGUUCUUAUUUUUUUUAAACUUUUAUUUCAGUAGUGUUUGGGGAACAAGUGGUGUUUG